This 460-nucleotide ribosomal RNA is filed under the name uncultured bacterium. RNAcentral describes it as "partial 16S ribosomal RNA". It matches the Rfam family "Bacterial small subunit ribosomal RNA", at positions 338 to 795 of the family's 1533-position model. The record is from RNAcentral.
CCUACGGGAGGCUGCAGUGAGGAAUAUUGGUCAAUGGCCGGAAGGCUGAACCAGCCAUGCCGCGUGAAGGUCAGUGCCCCAUGGGCGUUAAACUUCUUUUGUGCGGGAGCAAUAAUGGUCACGUGUGGCCAGACGAGAGUACCGUACGAAUAAGCAUCGGCUAACACCGUGCCAGCAGCCGCGGUAAAACGGGGGAUGCAAGCGUUAUCCGGAUUUUUUGGGUUUAAAGGGUGCGUAGGGUGGGAGGUAAGUCAGCGGGGAAAUGCCCCGGCUCAACGGGGUGAAGAGCUAUUGAUACUGGCUUGCUAGAAUGGGGGUGCAGUGGGAGGAAUGUGUGGUGUAGCGGUGAAAUGCAUAGAUAUCACGCAGAACACCGAUUGCGAAGGCAUCAGACGAAUGCGCGAUUGACGCUGAUGCACGAAAGCGUGGGUAUCAAACAGGAUUAGAUACCCCGGUAGUC